Molecule: long non-coding RNA, 365 nt
Organism: Corapipo altera (White-ruffed manakin)
Lineage: Eukaryota; Metazoa; Chordata; Aves; Passeriformes; Pipridae
Exons: 3
Source: RefSeq, a predicted model, not a curated record
UUAAUUCUGGGUGGAAGAAAAAAAUCUCUGACUUGAGAUGUUCCGCACAUCAUGCAGUCAACUUCCCUGCGUGUGGGAAAGCUGCAAGGAUGAUUUCACUGAAAGCACAAAACCAAUUUAAAAUAAAAUCACGGAAUGACAGAAUAUGCUGAGUUGGAAGGGACCCACAAGGAUCAUCAAUCCAACUUCUGACCCUGCUCAGGGCACCCCAAGAAUCUCACCAUGUGCCUGAGAGUGUUGUCAAUGCUUCUUGAACUCUGACAGGCUUGGUGCUGUGACCAUUUCCCUGGGGAACCUGUUCCAGUGUUCAACCACCCUUUGGGUGAAAAACCUUUUCCUUAUAUUCAGCCUAAACCUCUCUUGAC